This is a long non-coding RNA of Syngnathus acus (greater pipefish), 437 nucleotides long. RefSeq lists it as uncharacterized. The record is from RefSeq and is a predicted model, not a curated record. Lineage: Eukaryota; Metazoa; Chordata; Actinopteri; Syngnathiformes; Syngnathidae. The transcript has 3 exons.
CUCACUGAAGAACUUGCAGCAGGCCAUGUCAAAAGACAAAUAGCCAUGUCAAUGGGAUUUCUUUUCAUGGCUAUUCUCUGGCAACUGGUGGCAACUGCUGUUGAAAUUUGUGACUCCUGCCCUUGUUGUACUGGUGUUGUUGUGCUUAUUUGCGACCUGUGUUGUGCCGUGUUUGAAGUCUGCUGUAUCAAGAUCUGUGACUUCUACCAUAGCACAAGUGCAAAUACAACAUGCCAGACAUGUCAAAUGUGAUGACUAUAACACGCUGUGGAAAGAAGAUUGCGACGAUGCUGUUUAGCCGUACAUGUUUGACAGAAACUUAAUAAUUUCACCGUCGAAAAUGCCUCGCAAGUGAUGGAUACAAUGAUGUACUGUUUCUGUCUGCUGUUUUGUUUAUUUUUCAUUCUUCCUUAUAUUUUCUUGCUUAUGUUUGAUUG